This 425-nucleotide ribosomal RNA is filed under the name uncultured bacterium. RNAcentral's name for it is "partial 16S ribosomal RNA". It matches the Rfam family "Bacterial small subunit ribosomal RNA", at positions 354 to 796 of the family's 1533-position model. The record is from RNAcentral.
GUGGGGGAUAUUGCACAAUGGGGGAAACCCUGAUGCAGCGACGCCGCGUGAAGGAAGACGUACUUCGGUAUGUAAACUUCUAUCAGCAGGGAAGAAGAUGACGGUACCUGACUAAGAAGCCCCGGCUAACUACGUGCCAGCAGCCGCGGUAAUACGUAGGGGGCAAGCGUUAUCCGGAUUUACUGGGUGUAAAGGGAGCGUAGACGGUGAAGCAAGUCUGAUGUGAAAACCCGGGGCUCAACUCCGGGAUUGCAUUGGAAACUGUUUUACUUGAGUGCUGGAGGGGCAAGCGGAAUUCCUGGUGUAGCGGUGAAAUGCGUAGAUAUCAGGAAGAACACCGGUGGCGAAGGCGGCUUGCUGGACAGUAACUGACGUUGAGGCUCGAAAGCGUGGGGAGCAAACAGGAUUAGAAACCCCGGUAGUCC